This is a long non-coding RNA of Macaca mulatta (Rhesus monkey), 629 nucleotides long. RefSeq lists it as uncharacterized. NCBI's taxonomy places the organism in Eukaryota, Metazoa, Chordata, Mammalia, Primates, Cercopithecidae. The record is from RefSeq and is a predicted model, not a curated record.
CUAGCCGCAGGCUGAGUGGGAAAAUCCAGCAAGGUCUGUCUGCGGAGGUUUCCUCUUGGCCUCUGUGCAGCAAUCCUUUCUCCACGGUGUGGGGCAGGACCUCCUCUGAAACACAGCUCACACGACCUGUGAUCAAACAAGUGUUAUUUGUUUGGAGGGAGAGGUGCAACCAAAUGUUAAUUAUUUGUGCCAUAAUGACAAGAAGUUCGUGAAUCGAGUUUACAUAUUUAUACAUCUAUGCUGGCUGAAGAUUUACAUCUUGUAUCCAAUGCAUGUUGCUGACGUUAUGCUCUGCAGAUUCUCAUUACACCGAGUUCUUCUGUGUUCAUCUGCUUCCUCAAGGCCAUGAUCCAUUACAUCUGUCUCAGCUCAGCUGAUGCUCUGGCAGUGGUUCUCUGCACUGAGCAUUGCUGCCACACACCUUUGGUCUUUAAACCUGAACUGAAAUGAAGCUUAAACUAAAAUGUAGAGGGCAAAUGGUGUGCAAAACAAAAUUUAAAUAGUAGUGAUUAAUCUUUCCAAUGAAGUUUUUUGGUUCUAGCCCAUUAAUUUUCAAUGAACGUUCAUUAAGUACUUAUCAUGUACUAGCCACCAUCUUACCUCCAAAAAUAAAGAUGAUAGAUAAAUGA